UUCAGUUGAAGUGGACUUUGUCGUUUCUGUUUCAACUGGCAAAUAUUCAGUUACAUUUUCAUGAAUAUUCACAUUUGUUUCAGGUGCAUUCGUUGGAGAAAUUGUUUCGUGUUUUUCUGAUGCUGCAAAUUCGUUUGCCGUCUCCAAAAUGGUUGUUGUUAGCUGGUGGUUCAAAUCUAGCAUAUUUUCGGUCGUAAAGUCUUCGAUUGCUUCUUCUGCACUGGACUUGGUACCCUCAGUUUGAAUCACCGUAGAUACAGGAACAAUAUUCGCAUCUGUUGUUGCAGUAUCAGUGGGGCUUUCGUUCGAUUCCUUGAAUAUGUUGUUCAUUUUCUGCAUUACUGGGUUCUGGUAUAUUUGUAACAUCUUGGACAAAAGUAGUUGUUUCAUAUUCGGUUAGAUUGAAAAAUUGUUCCGAUUCAUAAGUUGCAUUUGUUUGUAUAUUACCUUCCAAAAUAGCUUCUUUUUCUUCAUCAGAUUGCAUGUCAUUUUCUAGUUGUAUAGUGGUUGCGGCAAUUAUCGUUGUAGUGGUGUUGACGUGCAAAUCACUCGUCUGACUUGAGUGUAGGGGCGAAAGACUAAUCGAACCAUCUAGUUGCUGGUUCCUUCCGAAGUUUCCCUCAGGAUAGCUGGCAUUUGUUUGUAACAAUUUUAUCCGGUAGAGCGAAUGAUUAGAGGUGUUGGGAACGCAAUGUUCUCAGCCUAUUCUCAAACUUCGAAUGGGUAAGCAAGGCGUUUUGCUUUGAUUUUACGAUGAAAUCGCCCAAUUAGAAUGCAUAAAUGCCUAGUGGGCCAAUUUUGGUAAGCAGAACUGGCGAUGUGGAAUGAACCAAAAGUCAGGUUAAGGUGCCAGACAUUGGCGCUCAUGAAAUACCAGAAAAGGUGUUGGUCGAUAUAGACAGCAGGACGGUGGCCAUGGAAGUUGGAAUCCGCCAAGGAGUGUGUAACAACUCACCUGCCGAAUCGACUAGCCCUGAAAAUGGAUAGCGUUUGAGCGCCAGGCCCAUACCUGACCGUCUCAAUUACGCACUUUUUUUCGGAAAAGGUGUAAUGAACGUUGAGACGGGUAGGAAGGUCGCGACAGUGUUGCUUUGAAGAGUUUUGAGCGUGAGCUCGCUCGGAGCCGCUGUUGGUGCAGAUCUUGGUGGUAGUAGCAAAUAUUCAAGUGAGAACCUUGAAGGCUGAAGUGGAGCAAGGUUCCAUGUGAACAGCAGUUGGACAUGGGUCAGUCGAUCCUAAGAAAACGGCGAAAGCUUGUUCGAAUUUGCGACAUGAAUUGUAAGACUGUGUGUGUUUAUUGUGUGUGCAGUUGUCGUAUGUUUUCGAAAGGGAAUCCGGUUGAUAUUCCGGAACCGAGUAACGGAGACAAAGAGUAGCGCUUUAAUCUCUCUGUGGGGUUGGCGUUCAACUCAAUCGCGCGGUAACGCAAGCGAACUCGGAAAAUGACCGUCGUGAGUUUCGAAAAGAGUUUUCUUUUCUUUUUAAGGGACGCAUUCCCUGGAACCGGGUUGUCCGGAGAUAGGGAUUCUGGUAUCCAUAAAACGCCGACUUUUUCACGGUGUUCGGAGCGCUCUCGUCGGUACGUGAAAAUCCGAGCGACGCCUGGUAAAUCUCGUACUUGGUCGUACUGAUAUCCGCAGCAGGUCUCCAAGGUGAAUAGCCUCUGGCCGAUAGAAUAAUGUAGGUAAGGGAAGUCGGCAAAACGGAUCCGUAACUUCGGAACAAGGAUUGGCUCUAAGGGCUGGGCCGAUCGGGCUGAGGUUUCAAGCGUGCAGUGUAUGCUUGGCUGAGUUGUGUUGAGGACUUGUUCACUUGCCGCCGUUUGUUCGGUUGGUCUAGUGUAUUCGAGUCUGAAGCAGAGCUGGCCGACAGACCGGCACGUGCAGAACCUGAGCUGCGCGGCUGUCCGUUUACGUGUACAGACCGUUUCGGUCGGCAUUCAACAGCCAACUUAGAACUGGCACGGACACAAGGAAUCUGACUGUAUAAUUAAAACAAAGCAUUGCGAUGGCCGAUGAUCGGUGAUGACGCAAUGUGAUUUCUGCCCAGUGCUCUGAAUGUCAAAGUGAAGAAAUUCAAUCAAGCGCGGGUAAACGGCGGGAGUAACUAUGACUCUCUUAAGGUAGCCAAAUGCCUCGUCAUCUAAUUAGUGACGCGUAUGAAUGGAUCAACAAGAUUCCUUCUGUCCCUAUCUACUAUCUAGCGAAACCACAGCCAAGGGAACGGGCUUGGCAAAAUCAGCGGGGAAAGAAGACCCUGUUGAGCUUGACUCUAGUCUGACUCUGUGAAGAGACAUGAAAGGUGUAGCAUAGGUGGGAGAUUGUCAAAUUGCCAUCGUUCGCGCGGUGGUCCGGUGAUCGCCAAUGAAAUACCACUACUUUGAUCGUUUCUUUACUUAUUCGGUAAAGCGAAAAAAUUGUGGCCAAUUUGGCGGUGUUUAUGUCGCUGUUGGUCAUUGUUUUCAUGUUAGAUUGAAGCUUUGUUUACAGCCGUCGCUUUGUGUCGCCAUUUGACGCAUUGUUGUACUGGGUUAUCCGUUGCCCAGUUCUUUCCCAUCUGAUAUUGCCAGACAUCGUGGAAAUACCAACCAAACGGAAUCAGAUCAGACCAAUAAAUUCCAUCUCCUCGAUCUUUCAUCCAAUCUUGAGAGACUCUAAUUUGUAGCAGACCGCCGGUAUAUUUGCGCCACGCAUCAGGUUUCAUGUCUGUCUUGCUCAUGGUACGUGGAUUGAAUGAAAAUACGCCUCUGUUUGGAGAAUUUCUAGCAAUCGAGCCAACCUGUUCAAAGCUGUGACCAAGUACAUCUUCCCAAUAACCCCACAAUGGCGAUAGGUUUGAAGUGAUUCGCUCCGGAAACAGUGUCAGACGGGGAGUUUGACUGGGGCGGUACAUCUGUUAAACGAUAACGCAGGUGUCCUAAGGUAAGCUCAGCGAGGACAGAAACCUCGCUUAGAGUAAACGGGCACAAGCUUACUUGAUUUUGAUUUCCAGUACGAAUAGAAACCGCGAAAGCGUGGCCUAUCGAUCCUUUUGAUUGUGUAGAUUUCAUGCAAGAGGUGUCAGAAAAGUUACCACAGGGAUAACUGGCUUGUGGCAGCCAAGCGUCCAUAGCGACGUUGCUUUUUGAUCCUUCGAUGUCGGCUCUUCCUAUCAUUGCGAAGCAGAAUUCGCCAAGCGUUGGAUUGUUCACCCACCAAUAGGGAACGUGAGCUGGGAUUAGACCGUCGUGAGACAGGUUAGUUUUACCCUACUGAUGACAAGUCGUUGCGAUAGUAAUCCUGCUCAGUACGAGAGGAACCGCGGGAUCAGACAUUUGGUUCAUGCGCUCGGCUGAAAGGCCGGUGGCGCGAAGCUAGCAUCUGCAAGAUUAUGACUGAACGCCUCUAAGUCAGAAUCUUUUCUAGUCAUUGGCAACGAUAAGUUGCGUCCAGACUCGAUGCGAGGAAACGAUUAGGCUUUGCUAUACGGCGAAGCCAUUAUCAGACCACGGUAGCAGGCAGUAUGGGAUUGUUACGAAAAAGCAAUUUUUUGAAGUCAGUUGAAUUCAAUCAAACUGCUAACAAUUCCACUGCGAAUGACUCCAUUCGAAUCAAU
This 3594-nucleotide ribosomal RNA is filed under the name Trichinella sp. T8. RNAcentral describes it as "eukaryotic LSU rRNA". It matches the Rfam family "Eukaryotic large subunit ribosomal RNA". Lineage: Eukaryota; Metazoa; Nematoda; Enoplea; Trichinellida; Trichinellidae. The record is from RNAcentral.